AAAUUUGAUCUUUUGGAAAGUUUCCAGUACAAAAACUGUCAAUAUGCCUAAUUUAUUCCUCGAUUAAAAGUCACUCGACUUUGGUGAAAUCGUUACUAGGU
Molecule: long non-coding RNA, 101 nt
Organism: Maniola jurtina (meadow brown)
Lineage: Eukaryota; Metazoa; Arthropoda; Insecta; Lepidoptera; Nymphalidae
Exons: 5
Source: RefSeq, a predicted model, not a curated record